Molecule: small RNA, 76 nt
Filed under: Pseudomonas oryzihabitans
Lineage: Bacteria; Pseudomonadati; Pseudomonadota; Gammaproteobacteria; Pseudomonadales; Pseudomonadaceae
Also listed under: 2 other names
Description: sX9 sRNA
Rfam family: Xanthomonas sRNA sX9
Source: RNAcentral
AUGUACCGCUCGUACACUCCGGUUCCUGCGCGCCGCGCGCACCCGCCUGACAACCGCUCGCUACGUUUUGUUAGCC